This 224-nucleotide long non-coding RNA is filed under the name Phoenix dactylifera (date palm). RNAcentral describes it as "long non-coding RNA (PDAC_LNC016804)". The record is from RNAcentral. Lineage: Eukaryota; Viridiplantae; Streptophyta; Magnoliopsida; Arecales; Arecaceae.
CAAUUCCAAGGGAACCCCGUUCACACCGCUGUGCCAAUCGUUCUCGGUUUGAACCCCCAGCAACAGUUGGCGCUAGAAGGAGGGCCCGGAUCUCAGAGCGAUCGUAAUGGCACGGCGAGGUGGUCGUGGAGCUUCCCAUGCUUCCGGUCGCGGGGCCUCUCGCGCCUCUGGCCGGAGGGCCGCUGCAUCUCCAACACACUCUCAGCAACACUCCACCUCCCCAC